AGGACAUCAAGGGGAUACAAAUUGGGAAGGAAGAAGUCAAAAUAUCACUAUUUGCAGAUGAUAUGAUAGUAUAUAUGUGACCCCAAAAAUUUCACCAGAGAACUCCUAAACCUGAUAAACAGCUUCAGUUCAGUAGCUGAAUAUAAAAUUAACUCAAACAAAUCAAUGGUCUUUCUCUACACAAAGGAUAAACAGACUGAGAAAGAAAUUAGGGAAACAACAACCUUCACAAUAGUCAAAAAUAAUAUAAAAUACCUUGGUGUGACUCUAACUAGGGAAGUGAAAGAUCUGUAUGACAAGAACUUCAAGUCUCUGAAGAAAGUAAUUGAAGAAGAUCUCAGAAGAUGGAAAGAUCUCCCAUGCUCAUGGAUUGGCAGGAUUAAUAUUGUGAUUGCUUUCUUCUCUCUCAUUUGACAAAAUACAACACCUCUUCAUGUUAAAAAUAUUGGAGCGAUCAGGAAUUCAAAGCCCAUACCGAAACACAAUAAAAGCAAUUUACUGCAAACCAAGAGCCAAUAUCAAAUUAAAUGGAGAAAUACUUGAAACAAUCCCACUGAAAUCAGGGACAAGAAAAGGAUGUCCACUCUCCCCAUAUCUAUUCAAUAUAGUGCUCAAAGUGUCAGCUAGAACAAUAAGAUAACAAAAAGAGAUCAAGGGGAUACACACUGGUAAAGAAGAAAUAAAGGUAUUACUAUUUGCAGAUGAUAUGAUAGUAUACAUAAGCAACCCCAAAAGUUCUACCAGAGAACUUCUCCAGCUGAUAAACACCUUCAGCAAAGUAGCUGGAUAUAAAAUUAACUCAAAUAAAUCAGUAGCCUUCCUUUACACAAAGGAUAAACAGGCUGAGAAAGAAAUUAGGGGAAAAAAUUCCCUUCACAAUAGCCACAAAUAGAAUCUUUUUUUUUUUUUUGAAAAGAAUUAUAAAUCUUCAAAGCAUAUAGAGACAUUACCUGACAUGGUCUUAUUCCUCGUUUAUAUUUCAUAACCAUCACCUCUGUUUUAUUUUCAUAAACUCAACUGAUGUGCUGCAAGUUGCGGCUCCAUCGCCACCUGUGUGCAACUUUCCAGAUUAAUGAAUGUGAUGUCAAAGCAAACAGAGGUGGCCUGGGGGUCUUGAGCUAGUAGUGAAACUAAACCACUCAGAGUCACCAAUUUACUUAAGAACAUUGCCCUGCUCUCCUGGGACUCCGUGUUCUCCAGGACUCCUUGAGAGUUUCUGGUUUGGGUUCCCUUUUCUACACUUCUCAGAGGAUGACUAACUUCAAACCACACAUGCCGUUGACUAUAGACAGGGAAACCAGGCAUGGUAGUGUGUGCUGGUGUGUCUUCGAUGUCUCCCCUAACUCCACCAGCUCAAUUAAGAAAACAAAAAACAAAAAACAAAACCCGAAAGACUUUGUGCGACAUGCUCUCCUUUUUCUGCACAUGAACAAAGGAAUCUUCCUUCACUAAUUCUGAAAGUAACUUGUCACAGCGGGGUCCGAGGGCCUAGUCACAUAAUUGUCUUAGUGUGCUGCCUGCUGUGUUCAAUAUUGAGUGGAAAUGGAAGCCAGUCCUGGGCUCCAGCUUAUUUCACAAUUCUUCUGUUAUUUAAAUGAUUUUAGUCAGUUUGGGGGAAGCCAGACCUUUAUAAAUUAACAGCAGGGAAAUACCAAAGGUGUCAGAUUGCAUAUUUAUCAUCUUUUUCGUGUAAUACUUAAAUAUGUAUUAAGAAGUGACUGACAUAAAUUAGGCGGUUUUCAGAAGCCACAGGCCGUGGCUUGUAGAAGACCCCCUUCUGCUUGACAUUUCAUCCUUGUCAAAGAUCAAAUUAUUUUAAUUUAGGCUGCAAAUUAUAAGGAAUGAAGACUUCUUUGUGGGAAUUCCCUGUGGUAAUCUGACUUUUGUUGUUACUGCUGCUUGUCAGUGUGCAAAAGAUAUAAUAUGCAUGCAAAUAAGGUUAAAAAAUAUGUACUAUCUAAUUAUCCAGCCAGUGCGUUCCACUUGAAGACAGUGGGAGGCCUGACACACAGUAUGUGUUUGAUUCAUUGAGGCCUGCAGGGUAUUUACACAAGAUUACUUUUAAUUAUGAAAUUAAUAUCUGUUUAUCUAGAAUAUAUAGCAGUGAGUGAGUAUACACAGGAGCAGAAUUCUUUAGUAAAAAGAAAUGAUCUUAAUUUAAUAUGUAAAAAGGAAGAAAAACGCACUUGUUUCAGGAAAAAAAAAAAAAGAAUCAUAACACCCAGAAAUAGGGUCCUCUUCAGGGAAAAGGAUCGAAUGAAAACUUAGUUCAUUUUGCAGAAGUGUUUCUUCAACAGUGAUGUGGACUAAGAUGUGUGGCUUUGUAACACUGGGCUGGUACUUCCCUGCACACGAAGCAGCUCUAGCUUCAUGGAGAGGGGGCAAACGUGGAGACACACAGGAUUCCAAAUGUUCUGUUGUGGUUUCUAUGGGGUAUUGCCUCUUCAAAGACUGAAAGUCAGGGUUUUCUUGAGGAUUUUAGUUAGUGUUUAAGUUAGUGAUGACCUUAUUAUUGUAGGACAAUAGGUGGUAGCAACCCUUUAAAGAAAAACGGCUACUUUUAAAAUGCUUGUCCCUAAAAGAGCACUUUGAAAGUAUUUCAAUUUGUUAUGUAUUGUUUUCCUUAGCUUACAAUAGAGUAUGGAAGAAUAAUAUUUGUGAUAGUAAUAAUGACUGUCACUUUGGAAAAUAUAAAUCAGAAUAAAAAAUAAACAAGUUAUCACUUCACAAAAUAAAGAAGAGAGAGAGAGAGAGAAUAAGGGUUGGAGAUAAGUGGUUAAAAGCCUUUAUUGCUCUAUCAGAAAAUCCAGGUUAGAUCUCCAGUGCCCACGCAUGUUAGUCAGGUCACAGUCACCCGUAAUUCUCCCACAAUGAAUCGGAUGCCCUCUCCUGGACUUCACAGGCACCUGUACACACACACACACACACACUUGCAUGUGCACACACACACACUCGCAUGCACAUACCAGCCCUACAGAAUAAUCUCCUAAUCCUCCACACAAAUCCAUCAAUAUUAAUAAACAGAAAGUUUAAAAAGUGUAAAAAAUCUGACCUGUCUGGCUGUAUAAAAUGGCAAUUGGUUAACCACAUUUGUAACAUGGGGAAAAAAAACCCAAUCUUUCAGGUUCUAUCAUCCAACAAGUAAGCAACAUUGGCUGGAGAAUCCUUGAACUGCUCCUGCUGACAUCUCCCUCACUCCAUUCUGUCUGUCUUCCACAUUCAUCUGGACAGCCAUGCCUCUCCUUACUUCUCAUGUGCUUAGAAUGUGAAUUCAUACUCACUCCGAAGUAACUGGGAUUUCUGGGAUCGCCAUUUGGGACUGAGUUCACUUUUCCUUUAUAAACAUCUAUCAAUAUAUUUCAUUUCUUGCC
This 3371-nucleotide long non-coding RNA is filed under the name Mus musculus (house mouse). RNAcentral's name for it is "long non-coding RNA chr12:38434276-38437647". The record is from RNAcentral. Lineage: Eukaryota; Metazoa; Chordata; Mammalia; Rodentia; Muridae.